AACGCACAUUGCACCCCCUGGUAUUCCAGAGGGUAUGCCUGUUCGAGCGUCAUUACAUCCCUCAAGCCUAGCUUGGUAUUGGAUGUCCACCUUUCUUGGUGCAUCUCAAAAUUAGUGGCGGCGCCAUUCGGCCUCAAGCGUAGUAAUGCUCCUCACUUUAGAGGUUUGGAUUUGUGCCUGCCAACAAAUCACCCCUUUUUGCAGUUGACCUCGGAUCAGGUAGGGAUACCCGCUGAACUUAA
This 242-nucleotide unclassified non-coding RNA is filed under the name uncultured fungus. RNAcentral's name for it is "sequence contains ITS2". Lineage: Eukaryota; Fungi. The record is from RNAcentral.